GAUGAAGAACGUAGCGAAAUGCGAUAAGUAAUGUGAAUUGCAGAAUUCAGUGAAUCAUCGAAUCUUUGAACGCACAUUGCGCCCACUAGUAUUCUGGCGGGCAUGCCUGUUCGAGCGUCUUUUGCACCCCUCGGGCCCGUAGGCUUAGGCCUCCGGGGCGCGGUGUUGGGGCGUCGCGGCAGCCGCGAGCCCCUAAAUCGAGUGGCGGACCUACCUGUGGCCCUGGCGUAGUAGCUAAACCUCGCCUUCGGUUGCAGGUCGGAUCUUGCCUAGAAACCCAACUCCAAAAUUAGACCUCGAAUCAGGUAGGAAUACCCGCUGAACUUAAGCAUAUCAAUAAGCGGAGGA
Molecule: unclassified non-coding RNA, 348 nt
Filed under: soil metagenome
Description: partial contains 5.8S ribosomal RNA, internal transcribed spacer 2, and large subunit ribosomal RNA
Rfam family: 5.8S ribosomal RNA (bases 1-120)
Source: RNAcentral